UCGUUGCAGGGACCAAAAUAAAACCAUUUAAUGAGUUAAUUAAUUGUAGUUAAUUACGCCUUAACUUUUCUACUCAACGCCAGAUGUCGCUCUAAAGCAAAAUUCUACUUGACGUAAAACAUUUAUACAUCGCGGUAAUCUCGUCAGUCUUACUCCAUCAUUUUAAAAAGUAUAGACUAGUUUAUGGAUUUCUAAAGUUAUGUCAAGAUGACUGAAUGUAAUAUUGUCAACAAUAAUUGUCAAAACACGCAAUUUAAAAUAUUCAACAUUGUAAUUACAAAAUAGUAUAUUUCUAAUACGCUAUAAUUUUCUCCAAUCGAAAGGCACUCCAUUCCAUUGAUCUCAGAGAGUAUGCUCCUUGAUGAUCUUCACUAUUCAUGGGCAUUUUUAAGUUAUUCAUCGGACACUGAGGCCAUUGAAGUUUUAAGCUGGCGGCAUCAAAAUGGAGUACCUAGAAACCAUACGGCAAUAAUGAGGAUGCAUCGACAUAAGAAGAAUCGAACAUGGGCAAGAUAAAGUUCAAGAAAAAAGCAAAUAUAAUGUGUACUUGUGUGUAGUCAAAGAAAGUUGAAAAAUAAAGCAUAAUUAAUGGCCAUAGAAUACAGAACCGAUACACGAACAUUAAGACUAUUAAAUAUAGACAUAUAGGUUGAUCGUACUACUCGUACUAAUGUAUUUCUUUUGUUCAAUUAUAUUAUUGCAUUAAAGUUAGAUUCUCUAGAUAUAUAUUAUUCAUAGGUUCUGUAUUCUAUAUGAAUUGUUUUAGUGUAAUUAUUGUACUAAAUACCGUUGACCGCCUGUCAACAGUAUUUAUCUCUACAUUACUAUCACAGAAGAUUUUAGGCCCUACAGUAGUUUUUGAAUUAGUAUUUACUAUGGACAAAAUAGCGAAAUCUGAGUUUUUACCUAAAAUAUCAAUCUUUUGUGAACGUGGUGUAGAGUAUAUACCGCCUUAGACUGAAGUAGCUACGCGGGCAACGUUUUCAAAAUAGAAUCGUGUUCAUGGUCGGCCCAUGGUAAAAAUAAUUAGGUACCCGUAGACCCACUGGUGAACACUGUUUAUGAUAACACUUAAAAUAAACCCCGUGGACCCACCAGGAGAACAUAUUGGAGACACUAGAGAUAAUACACCGCUUUAAGGGCGGUCGUACACGGCAUUGACAUCUGGCGUCUAGAUGGCGGGUGGACCUCAGCGAAUUUCAAAGAAAUAUUUAUAAACAUCCAAUGACGUUCGGCUCGGAAACCAGAUCUUCAAUCUCCUGAUUCCUGUGGAGUCUCCAGGUUCCAUCCUCUCCACGUGAGGGUCCUAGGAUUUUUCGCGCUGCCAGACUCCGAUGACUCGGGCACGUAGUCCAGAUGGGUGAGGAUCGUGCAGCCUGAAGGGCGUACUCUGAAGUUUCAAAUGGCCGAAGACCGUCUAGACGUCCUAGGUAGGUCCCGCUGGAGAGAUGAAAUGCAAAAAGACCUUAGCGAACUCGGCGCCGUCGACUAGAUGGAAACUGUUUUGGACAGAGAAGCAUGGCGGUCUUUGGUGUCGGAGGCCAAGAUCCACUUCGGGUCGCUGCGCCACAGCAGUAAGUAAGUAUUUAUAAACAUAUUGUACCUUCUGUGUACCUAACCAAAAACGAGAUAUUUAAGAAAAAGUCCACCCGCUAUUCUGACGUCAGGAUUGCGGUUGGACCUAUGAAAUCUUGCAUUAUACCGCACUAAAAGUAUGCAGUUAUAUGGUACAGUCGCCAUCAGAUAUAUCGGAGUGGCCGAGGUGCUCAAAGAUAUCUAAACACGCAUUGUACCUUCAGUGUACCUCUGUAAAUAGAAAUAGAAACCGGUGUACCUCUCCCCAAAACAAGCUAGGCUAAGCUCAUGCAAGAUUUCAUAGGUCCACCCGCCAUCCUGACGUCAGGUUGGCGGGUGGACCGUUUUGUAAAAUAUCUCGUCUCGGUCUAUUAAAGGUACACUGAGGUACACAGAAGGUACAAUAUGUUUAUUAAUAUUUCUUUGAAAUUCGCUGAGGUCCACCGCCAUCCUAACGCUUACCAUAUAUCUAAGGACCGACCUUAGGGGCAAUAACGAUAGUGCUAGUUCAGAUGUGUCAUUCACAAAUUCGAGCCAAUCGUGCUGUCUAACGCAACUAGAACUCAUCAACCAAUCACGUUGUGGUACUUGUGGCGUUAGACUGCACGAUUGGCUCAAACUCGUGUGCGUAACACCGCUGUACUGGCCUCAUUCUUAUUGCCCGUAAGGCCCGUCCUCAGAUAUAUUAUGUCAAUGACACAGUCGCGAUUUAAAAAACACAUUUUCUGCUACCAAAUUGUUGAGCAUAACGUUUUCCUAUCCAUAGGUUCCAUCUGUCCAGUAGGAUCCACCAUCUCGAUCCACCAGAUUGAAGAGAUUGUUACUUAACUGAUGGAUCGAGAUAAUUAAACCUACUGAAUAGAGCGGGUCGAUUGGAUAUAACAAAGUACGCUUAUAUGAAACGCUGCUCCGGUGUGCGAGUGAGACAGUCAGGCCAAUUUGAACUUGCAUUUGACAGAAAACUGAUUGUCUCCAUCAAACGCUACCAGUUCCAUUGCCGGCCUCUUUGCUGCCUUCUAUAGUGGUUCAAUCUUACCUUGUUUAUGAAUAAAAAGGGGCGUGCACACCGAUGUUAAAGUAAUAUUGGAAUCAUAUCAGUUACUUGCGGGCGUCUCGCUCGCACAAAUACAUGCGUAUAAGUGCGAAAUGAACGCACGAAUGACAGCUAACUGGUAUCAUUCCAAUAUUAUCCUAAAAUUGAUUUAUUGUCAGUUGCACUUUCGAAUUGGUCUACAUAACGAUUUCCUUAGCCUGCACACCGGAUCGGCGUGUGGGCCGGCAUCUAGCUAAUGUAAAGCCACCUCAUUAGGUGAUUUUAGCCUUUUGAACGGCAAGAACACCUAAAGAUGUGGUGAGAGAAAGCCGCGCGUCCCUCAUGCACUGCACUAGCUUUACAGCUUGCAUUGCGACCAAUGUAUGCUGCUCACCGCCCCGCCGGUCGCGUGGGUCCAAUCCGCGGCCCUAGAAGACGUACUUUACAUAUAAACAAGAGCACGCGAGCAUUUUGCGAGUUGUGUAUGUGUACUUGUGUUAUCUAGGCGCACAAACGGUUACAAUAACAAGAAGUGUACACCGCGUGUGCAGUCCAACACGGGAUCACGGGUGCGAUUCGAAAAUAACGUGCUAGCGACGCAUUACGACAUUGAUACUUUACCCUUUGAACGCCAUAACAAAAACGUUACUCACAUGCCAAGGUCACGGGCGCAAGUGAGCUUGAAAGUGCAUGAGUAUUACAUUAGGGACUUUGACAGCGAUUAUAACAGCUACAAUCAAUAAUGUGUUCAUGGCCCUUAAAUCAUGUCUAGUGACGGCGCCUUUAGGUGUUCUUGACGUUCAAAAGGUUAAGGGCGUUUGCUAGCUGGCGCUAGUGCACGGAGCGGGCAAACACGCGCAGGUGCCUUUGUAAGUAAAAUCAGUCGCACGCGUCCGCGCCAGUUAGCGUUGCUCAUACUGUAAGCCGCACGCCCGCUCCGUGCACACGCGCGACGUUGCGGACGCCCUAUGCCCUAAACCUUACUUGAAAGUGUGAAGGUUACUCUGACAGCGGCUAUAUCAGCUAUAAUGUAUUUAUGACGCUUUGAGCAUAGCUAGUUACGACGCCUUAAGGUAUUCUUGGCGUUCAAAAGGUUAAGGGCGUUUGCUAGCUGGCGCGAGUGCACGGAGCGGAUGCACGCGCGCGGGUGCCUUUGUAGGUAAAAUUCGUCGCACGCGUCCGCGCCAGUUAGCGUCGCCAGUUACUGUUUUUCGUUAACCCGCUCCAGCUAGCAAACUAAUCGCAAAUGGUCCGAGAUUGGCGCAAUAACCAUGCAUUCCCUUAUCUGGAUGCACCUAUUCACCAAUGCUUGCUUUAAAGUAACUUGUCGACUCGUCCUGAUAAUAUUUGUGCGACCGUGAAGAAAAUCUAUGCCGUCACUUAGUUUUCAAUUUAUAUGAAAUAAAGAUGUUAAAUGUAUUCAAAAGUUUUUAUUUAUUAAGGUAUGUAUAAGUGCUCUGUGCAUCCGCACCAGCUAGCGGUGCCCUUAGCAAACCGCAAUAACCAUGCAUUCUCUUAUCUGGAUCUGGAUGCACCUAUUCACCAAUGCUUGCUUUAAAUUAACUUGUCGACUCAUCCUGCUAAUAUUUGUGCGACCGUGAAGAAAAUGUAUGGCGUCAGUUAUUUUUCAAUUUAUAUGAAAUAAAGGUGUUAAAUGUAUUCAAAAGUUUUUAUUUCAUAUGUAUAUAUAAUGGAACGAAAUACAGCUACUAUCUUAGCUUGGCAAGCAGUUAAGAGUCGCUGAUACUUGUAAUGUAUUCACUGCGUUAAUUUUAGGUUUAAGAUUCUUUAUUUUCACUAAGAAUUUGACAAUUCACUUACAUGAGAACUUAAAACUACACAAUUUAAUCCUGCUUCAUAUGGCAAACGAAGGGAACGUUGCUUUGAACCGCGACGCAAUCUCAAAUGUUUCACUUUUACACAAUUUUCCUGCAGAGAGACAAAACAAGUAUGUACAUAGUACCUUUUUACGAUUUAUUUUAUCGUAACAUAUAAACUUAGAUUUAUUUUCUUGCUGCUAAUUAUGGUACUCCAACUACUCCAUAAAUACAUUUACUUACCUAUUUACUUAUUGCUUAGGAAUCUUAUUUCAUGUUUAAUAAUAAGUUUAUAUAACGUUUCUAGCGGGACAUAACGCGAACUUUAAAAAAUAUAAUGCGUUUUCUACCUUUAUCACUCGAAUAUGUAAGAGCAAGAGAGAUAAAUAGACGAAACUUACUAGUUCAAGGUAACCACUCGUUUUAUUGUCAAAGUUCCGAAUUAAACAAACUUAUUCUUCGGUGACAUUUUUUAGCGUUUAUAAGCGACUAUACGGAUCCAGCAUUUGCCGCUCAUUCGGUUCUCCUAUUGCACGCAAGAUGUCAGUACUAGAGAGGAUUUGAAAAAUCAUAAUUAAGUAGUUUAGUGCCAUUUAUUGAGCGGUAAUAAUUUAAAAAAAUAUAUAAAUUACUUUUUCAUUAUAUUUCAGGCAUGCAAAGUGAUGUAAAUGGUUACAAAAGUAACUCUAUAUGAAUGACAUUUUUUAGUUCCAGUUUACGCCGCAGCGCAUGAUCAAAAUUAUUAAUAUCAUCUUCCCUGGACACUUUCGGUCUUUGGUGUCAUAUAAGUAAUUAAUGCUUAAUUGAAGACCUUCCAAAUAGGAUAUGACUCAAAUGUAUAUACCAAUAGUAAAAAUUACCCAAACGGCUACCAAGGCUCCAUCUAGUGUCAGGUAGAACAAACAAAGCGGCAUUUACCACAAUUAAUUAACGAAAAAACUCGUUUUAUUACCGCCCCUGCAAGCAUUUGAGUGCAAGUAUAUAUAUAUUAAAAUACCUUAUAAAAAUGUCUUUUAAAUGAUAUAUAUGGCUUAAGUAUACAAGCAAGUUUCAGUGUUUAAUAGCAGUAUUUUUAAUUCAAGCAUAUGUUAUAUCAACUAAUUCCAGCCCUGUACGUACUUAAACGUAAGUAGUGGUAAACAGAAAUCUAGAAUUUCUCAUAUUCUUUCAUACAAAACACCUAACAACCGGCUACAUAACAAGUACUUUGUAAAACAACAGUUUAUAUUGGCCACUCUUUUUUUUAAAUUGCUCAGUCCCUGCACGUUAUCCAAAGUUGGUGUCAUACAAUAAAAUAAUGCUAAGAGUAAACCCUUUCAAACGAGAUAUGUCUCAACAGUAUACAUCCAUGGGACAAAUUGCCCAUUCUCCUUUAC
Long non-coding RNA from Cydia pomonella (codling moth), 5801 nucleotides. RefSeq lists it as uncharacterized. NCBI's taxonomy places the organism in Eukaryota, Metazoa, Arthropoda, Insecta, Lepidoptera, Tortricidae. The transcript has 3 exons. The record is from RefSeq and is a predicted model, not a curated record.